This is a non-coding RNA of Lupinus albus (white lupine), 305 nucleotides long. Lineage: Eukaryota; Viridiplantae; Streptophyta; Magnoliopsida; Fabales; Fabaceae. The record is from the annotation of a GenBank genome assembly.
AGCCAUGUGUUAGGCACAAAGCGAACUAUUCUUUCGCCUUUUACUAAAGAAUACCGUGUGUUUGACACUUUAAGUGGCAUACGCUUAUUUUUGGAGGUGUCCUUCCUUUGAAGGGUCCCACAUCUCUAGUCUAUAUAUUUAUCAUCUUAUGUUAUGGUUCUUUGUUAAAUUAAGUCCUGAUUAGACUUUCUAUUACAUUGAGUUUCUUACCCGGUUUCUUAUUUUUCAUCUUAGUCUCAUAUUGUGUGUCUAUUUCUUUGAAGUACUGAAAUUUUAGACAAACUUCAUUAGUGGGUUAUCUAUCG